GACGAACGCUGGCGGCGUGCUUAACACAUGCAAGUCGAGCGGUAAGGCCCUUUCGGGGGUACACGAGCGGCGAACGGGUGAGUAACACGUGGGUGACCUGCCCUUAGCUCUGGGAUAAGCCUGGGAAACUGGGUCUAAUACCGGAUAUGACUCCAUGACGCAUGUUGUGGGGUGGAAAGCCUUGUGCGGCUAGGGAUGGGCCCGCGGCCUAUCAGCUUGUUGGUGGGGUGAUGGCCACCAAGGCGACGACGGGUAGCCGGCCUGAGAGGGCGACCGGCCACACUGGGACUGAGACACGGCCCAGACUCCUACGGGAGGCAGCAGUGGGGAAUCUUGCGCAAUGGGCGAAAGCCUGACGCAGCGACGCCGCGUGAGGGAUGACGGCCUCGGU
RNAcentral lists this ribosomal RNA (391 nucleotides) under uncultured bacterium. Its description in RNAcentral is "bacterial SSU rRNA". It matches the Rfam family "Bacterial small subunit ribosomal RNA", at positions 28 to 423 of the family's 1533-position model. The record is from RNAcentral.